Molecule: unclassified non-coding RNA, 331 nt
Filed under: Basidiomycota sp.
Lineage: Eukaryota; Fungi; Basidiomycota
Description: partial contains small subunit ribosomal RNA, internal transcribed spacer 1, and 5.8S ribosomal RNA
Rfam family: Eukaryotic small subunit ribosomal RNA (bases 1-47)
Source: RNAcentral
AAAGUCGUAACAAGGUUUCCGUAGGUGAACCUGCGGAAGGAUCAUUAUUGAAUAAAUCUGACUUGGGUUGUAGCUGGCUCUCUGGAGCAUGUGCACGCUCUUGUCACCUUUAUCUUUCCACCUGUGCACACACUGUAGUCCUGGAUACCUCUCGCCUGCAAAGGCGGAUGCGGAGAUUGCUGCUGCCCUUUCUUUGGGCUCGGCUUCCUCUGAAUUUCCAGGUCUAUGAAUUUUUCUACACACCCCAAACGAAUGUUAUAGAAUGGUAUUCAUUGGGCCUCUGUGCCUAUAAAAAUCAAUACAACUUUCAACAACGGAUCUCUUGGCUCUC